Molecule: long non-coding RNA, 442 nt
Organism: Mauremys reevesii (Reeves's turtle)
Lineage: Eukaryota; Metazoa; Chordata; Testudines; Geoemydidae
Exons: 3
Source: RefSeq, a predicted model, not a curated record
GGGUGCUGCAGUUCCUUACAAUCAGGCAUGAUUCACUUUGGGUUAACUGCUGUAACAUCAGAUUAAAGAGCCAUCUACUACAAAAACCUCUCUUCCUCAGGUCAGCAGUGUGUGGGACACACGGCCACGUAUCAUAGUAGGAGCUGGAAGUGAAAAUGAAUAUAGGACCAGACCAUCUCCUCUGCUUCUGUGUGAGCAAAGCACAAAAGCCUCAAGGAGGCAAAGUAGGAUGUAAGAAAGGGAAGAAUAGUGCCGCCCCUUCCCUGAAACUCCAUGGAAGCACUUCUACUGGGAUCGAUGCUCCAUGGUACAAUACUCUGAGGCCGGAUGACUCCCCAGAUUGCCACUUGGAAAUUCAAGGAAAAGUAAAUGUCGCUUGAAGCAGCAUUAGCUGUUUCUGAGUCCAGAUGCCCCUACAUGGGCUGCCUGCUGGACACUAGCU